This 459-nucleotide ribosomal RNA is filed under the name uncultured bacterium. RNAcentral describes it as "partial 16S ribosomal RNA". It matches the Rfam family "Bacterial small subunit ribosomal RNA", at positions 339 to 795 of the family's 1533-position model. The record is from RNAcentral.
CGACGGGAGGUAGCAGUGAGGAAGAGUGGCCAAGGGGCGAGAGCCGGAACCAGUCAAGGCGGGUGAGGGAAGACGGUCCUAGGGAUUGUAAACCUCUUUUGUCGGGGAGCAAAAAGGCCUCGUGAGGCCACAAGUGAGAGUACCCGAAGAAAAAGCAUCGGCAAACUCCGUGCCAGCAGCCGCGGUAAUACGGAGGAUGCGAGCGUUAUCCGGAUUUAUUGGGUUUAAAGGGUGCGUAGGCGGACUGGAAAGUCAGCGGUAAAAUCGAGAGGCUCAACCUCUUUCCGCCGUUGAAACUGGCGGUCUUGAGUGGGCGAGAAGUAUGCGGAAUGCGUGGUGUAGCGGUGAAAUGCAUAGAUAUCACGCAGAACUCCGGUUGCGAAGGCAGCAUACCGGCGCCCGACUGACGCUGAGGCACGAAAGCGUGGGUAUCGAACAGGAUUAGAUACCCGUGUAGUC